GUAUGGUAAUUUUAUUUGCUAAUCAAUUAUUUUUAUUAAAUUUGUAAAUAUAACGAUGUGUUGAUUGUCAGAUCAACUAUAGAUAAUCAUCAUAACAGCGAUGACGACACAUAUGAAGAAGAAUUGGCAUCAAUAGCGGGUUCAAACAAUAUGCACUAGGAUAAAACUUUUGUAGAUUCAAUAACAAGUAUGAGACUGACGAUGGUCCUGAUAAUCUAGAUAACUUGAGGAAGUUUGCAAAGCAAUUCUAGAGACGAUCACUUGAAGCUGCAGCAUCUAAAGGUGGAGAAAAUGAUGAUAUCCCAGAUCUAAUGCUUGGAGAGACAUUUGAGUCGGCUGCAUAAUCUUGACAAUGAAUUUUUUAUAUAUAUUUCAUAUCAUUUUUGGAAGCUUUAAUUAAAUGUUGCAAUGAUGGGCAAUUUUUUUUAUCUGUUAGUGUUAAUCUUUAUCGCUUACUUUGAAUUUUGAUUGUAAAUUGUAAAUUCAUUUAUUCCCAUAUGCAUAAGACAGUUACAAUACA
Zingiber officinale is the source of this 520-nucleotide long non-coding RNA. RefSeq lists it as uncharacterized. The record is from RefSeq and is a predicted model, not a curated record. Lineage: Eukaryota; Viridiplantae; Streptophyta; Magnoliopsida; Zingiberales; Zingiberaceae. The transcript has 3 exons.